Potamilus streckersoni is the source of this 75-nucleotide non-coding RNA. The record is from the annotation of a GenBank genome assembly. Lineage: Eukaryota; Metazoa; Mollusca; Bivalvia; Unionida; Unionidae.
GCUCCGGUGGCCUAGUGGUUAGAGCGUCCGCCUUGGAUGUGGAAGGUUGUGGGAUCAAUCCCCAGUCUUGUUAUA